UACGGAGGGUGCAAGCGUUAAUCGGAUUUACUGGGUGUAAAGGGAGCGUAGACGGUUCUGCAAGUCUGGAGUGAAAGCCCGGGGCUCAACCCCGGGACUGCUUUGGAAACUGUGGAACUGGAGUGCAGGAGAGGUAAGUGGAAUUCCUAGUGUAGCGGUGAAAUGCGUAGAUAUUAGGAGGAACACCAGUGGCGAAGGCGGCUUACUGGACUGUAACUGACGUUGAGGCUCGAAAGCGUGGGGAGCAAAC
This 250-nucleotide ribosomal RNA is filed under the name uncultured bacterium. RNAcentral describes it as "partial 16S ribosomal RNA". It matches the Rfam family "Bacterial small subunit ribosomal RNA", at positions 524 to 773 of the family's 1533-position model. The record is from RNAcentral.